UUAUUUUAAGGAAAAACUUCAAAUACCACACAUGUGGUUUCACACUUUCUCAGUUUAGUACCCUAUGGUUUAAAGUGUAUCAAUUUAGUAUCAUGUGGUUUCAUUUUUAUCUUUUUAUUAUCGAUUGCACUAAUUUUUUUCGUUAAAUCAGUAACAAAGUUAAAACCAAAGGCAGCGUUUGAUUCGGGUAUAAGCAAAAACAAGCUAUUACAGGGAUAUGUACAAGUACGGGGAUAAGAAAAAUAGCGUUUGGAUAGAAAAUAUGGAAUAAGAAAAAUAGUGGGUAGUUAUAUAUAGAAAAUAGAGGUGUUGGUGGGAAAAGUUAUACCAGCUUAUUUCAGGUACCCGAGAACUACUAUUCUAGGGUAAAAAAUUUGCGUUUGGGUAUAAAGAGGGGAUAAGGGGUUAUCACUCCCCUCAUCCCCCAUCCAAACGGUGCAAAAGGGUACUAAAGUAAAUAUUCGAUAAAACUAGGUGGAGUAUCUGAAGCUUUUCGUAUAUAAUUUAACAAAAUAUUAACGAAAAAGCUAAUGAAAAGAUAAAAAUAAAACCACAGAAUAUUAACUUGAUAUACUUUAAACUACACAGGGUACUAAAAUGAGAAAAUGCAUGCGAAACCAUAUGGAUGGUAUUUAAGUUUAC
RNAcentral lists this long non-coding RNA (642 nucleotides) under Ananas comosus (pineapple). Its description in RNAcentral is "long non-coding RNA (ACOM_LNC014637)". The record is from RNAcentral. Lineage: Eukaryota; Viridiplantae; Streptophyta; Magnoliopsida; Poales; Bromeliaceae.